This is a non-coding RNA of Cinara cedri, 205 nucleotides long. Lineage: Eukaryota; Metazoa; Arthropoda; Insecta; Hemiptera; Aphididae. The record is from the annotation of a GenBank genome assembly.
UUUAUUGAUUAAACCAGCUAUUAUCAACGGAUAUAAGUAUUUUUUUUUUUAGUCGUUUUAGAAUCUUGAAAUGAUUAGAUAUUUUAUUUUUGCAGUAUAUUCGAAAUCCUAUCUUUAUUCCGCAUGCCCAUCAUGGAACAUUAUUCAAAUCGUGCGCGUUGUACUGUCACACAAAUAAUUCUUCGGUAUUCUCCUACUAGCCAAA